Diprion similis is the source of this 105-nucleotide long non-coding RNA. RefSeq lists it as uncharacterized. The transcript has 3 exons. NCBI's taxonomy places the organism in Eukaryota, Metazoa, Arthropoda, Insecta, Hymenoptera, Diprionidae. The record is from RefSeq and is a predicted model, not a curated record.
AAUAAUAAUAAUUGGAUUUUGAAAAUUUUCAGGGCUUGUUCCUAUCAUUAGAAGCAACGACUCUGCCAAGUUUCAAAUCAGUCCCUUAAUUUAUACCAAAGUCAU